GCUGAUAUGGCUCAGUUGGUAGAGCGCACCCUUGGUAAGGGUGAGGUCCCCAGUUCGCCUCUGGGUAUCAGCACCC
This 76-nucleotide transfer RNA is filed under the name Klebsiella pneumoniae. RNAcentral describes it as "tRNA-Thr". It matches the Rfam family "tRNA". From Rfam's summary of the family: Transfer RNA (tRNA) molecules are approximately 80 nucleotides in length. Their secondary structure includes four short double-helical elements and three loops (D, anti-codon, and T loops). The record is from RNAcentral. Lineage: Bacteria; Pseudomonadati; Pseudomonadota; Gammaproteobacteria; Enterobacterales; Enterobacteriaceae.